RNAcentral lists this ribosomal RNA (302 nucleotides) under uncultured bacterium. RNAcentral describes it as "bacterial SSU rRNA". It matches the Rfam family "Bacterial small subunit ribosomal RNA", at positions 28 to 352 of the family's 1533-position model. The record is from RNAcentral.
GAUAAACGCUGGCGGCGUGCCUAACACAUGCAAGUCGAACGCCCUGGAGCAAUUCAGGGAGUGGCGGACGGGUGAGGAACACGUGGGUGAUCUGCCUUGAGGUGAGGAAUACCGGCGAGAAAUCGCCGACAAUACCGCAUAGGUUCGUAAGAACAAAGUCGCAAGACGCCUUGAGAUGAGCCUGCGUCCGAUUAGCCAGUUGGUGGGUAAUGGCCUACCAAAGACAGCGAUCGGUAGCUGGUCUGAGAGGACGAUCAGCCACACUGGGAUUGAGAACGGCCCAGACUCCGUACGGGGGCGGA